GACGAACGCUGGCGGCGUGCUUAACACAUGCAAGUCGAACGGUGAAGCGCCUUCCUUUUUGGUGGGUGUGGAUGAGUGGCGAACGGGUGAGUAACACGUGAGUAACCUGCCCCCUUCUUCUGGAUAACCGCAUGAAAGUGUGGCUAAUACGGGAUAUUCUGUGUCUGUCGCAUGAUGGGUCUGGGAAAGAUAUUGUUUCGGUGGGGGAUGGGCUCGCGGCCUAUCAGCUUGUUGGUGGGGUGAUGGCCUACCGAGGCGGUGACGGGUAGCCGGCCUGAGAGGGUGGACGGUCACACUGGGAAGGAGACACGGCCCAGACUCCUACGGGAGGCAGCAGGGGGGAAUAUUGCACAAUGGGCGCAAGGCUGAUGCAGCGACGCCGCGUGAGGGAUGGAGGCCUUCGGGUUGUGAACCUCUUUCGCCAGUGAAGCAGGACUGCCUCGUGUGUGGGUGGGUUGACGGUAGCUGGAUAAGAAGCGCCGGCUAACUACGUG
Molecule: ribosomal RNA, 494 nt
Filed under: uncultured bacterium
Lineage: Bacteria
Description: partial 16S ribosomal RNA
Rfam family: Bacterial small subunit ribosomal RNA
Source: RNAcentral